Molecule: long non-coding RNA, 1000 nt
Filed under: Marmota monax (woodchuck)
Lineage: Eukaryota; Metazoa; Chordata; Mammalia; Rodentia; Sciuridae
Source: RNAcentral
GCACAAAUGAGUCCUCCCAUACUAAUCCUAGAUUUUACAAUCAUCAACUUGUCUUGAAUGAUUUUCUUUUAAAAAAAGAAAAAAAGGCACACACUCUUCUUUGAAGCAGUUUGGUAUAACUGAAAAUAAUGUGAUUAAACAGACUCAGACAUCGAAAUUCGGGAACCAAUAAGUGUGUAAAAGUAGUUUUGGUAAAGAAACCCCCUCUCUCCAAAAUCUCAGUCAGCUGUGAUGAUUUAACCCUUCAUCCUGCUUUGGAAUGAAUCUAAUAAAAAGGAUUGACACAUCUAUCUUUCUCUCUGACACUCUUAGUAAUUCUGUUGUGUGGGACAAAACUCAACCUGGACGUGCAGAAGGGAAACCUGCGGAGACCUGGUAGUCCUCUCACACAGCACGGUGGGAAGUGCCUCUAGCAACAAGUUGUUCUCUCCACAUGCUAGAAAUUAACUUGAAGUUAGGAUUUCUGAAAGGGAAUCUAAUUAGCAUUUCUUCAAACUGCCCCUGAGGGUGAGCUUAGCUAAUGUCCCAGAAGGUGCCAAGAAAGAUCUCAAGUUCCUACAUUCUAGUUUUCUCUUCUCACAUCUCCUGGAUGUGCCUCUAGAUCAGGGGUGAAAUCUCCAUGCAAAACUCAAGUGGAAAGAUUUGGCCAAUGAGAAACUUGACAUCCUCAUAUUAGAACAAUUCUGACGAAUGAGCACUUAUUUGGUGCUAUAACAUAGGUACGGGGGCGGGAACAAGAAAAAGGUACCUACAUGAUAAUAUUGCAAUCACACACAUCUGUGACGGGAGAGUUGUUGAAGGGAUGAGAAUUAGAAUUAGACCAGGUUGGGGACAUACUUCAGGUGCUAAGUGGAAUGAAAGGUUUGGGGCAGGAAGAUGAGCAGCUGCACAACUCUCUCCUGAGCUGACCAUUCUCACAGACUGUGAGACUGUCCAACUUCUCUGAAAACAUGCAAAAGAGUUACACACAGUAACAAACAAAAGGCUUAGCAGUAGUCCC